GGUGGGGUAGCUCAGCCGGUCAGAGCGUACGACUCAUAAUCGUAAGGUCGGGAGUUCAAGUCUCCCCCCCACUACCA
This 77-nucleotide transfer RNA is filed under the name bacterium. RNAcentral's name for it is "tRNA-Met". It matches the Rfam family "tRNA". From Rfam's summary of the family: Transfer RNA (tRNA) molecules are approximately 80 nucleotides in length. The record is from RNAcentral.